CCUUCGAUAGCUCAGUUGGUAGAGCACUGGACUGUCAAUCCAUUGGUCGUUGGUUCGAACCCGACUCGAAGGA
RNAcentral lists this transfer RNA (73 nucleotides) under Aphidius gifuensis. Its description in RNAcentral is "tRNA-Asp". It matches the Rfam family "tRNA". From Rfam's summary of the family: Transfer RNA (tRNA) molecules are approximately 80 nucleotides in length. Their secondary structure includes four short double-helical elements and three loops (D, anti-codon, and T loops). The record is from RNAcentral. Lineage: Eukaryota; Metazoa; Arthropoda; Insecta; Hymenoptera; Braconidae.